AAUACCUUUUUUUUUUGACAUAAAUAGAUUUAUCGUACAUCAUGCUACAUGAUACAAACAUAUUUAUUGGUAUCUCAACUCUCAAAACAUAUUGCUGAGCUAUAUUUUUCUGUCAUUGAGAAUCUAGCUUGUAUGAACAAAAAAUUUUCAUAAUUAAUAAAAUUUAUUUUCCUCCCUCCUUAAACAAAUUUAUAUAUGUACACAACUCCCUAAAAAUAAAAACUUUGCAAGUGAUAUCUAGCUUUGCUGAGUUAACGUAUUAAAUUCGAUUCUCUUAAACUACCUCUUGUGGAGACAUUUUCCCUAGAAUUCCCCAUGAUGGCUGGGUUUGUUCUGUAAAAGAACUCAAACCCAAAGUGCUCGAUGAGAUAUAUCGCGUAGGCUUCAGCUUAAUUUGUUUUCCGUUUCCAAAAAUUAAAAAAACUUCAAUAUGUCUGUGCCAAUAUUGUGAUUCAAAAGUUAAAUAUAUAAAUGAAAUUAGAGAUAAAAGUGAUUUAAUUUACAGUUAUACACCGAUAAGCUUAAGAUAUUUAUUAUCACAGCUUAAAAAUCCAUGCAUAAAUCUUUUUCAAAACCAUUUAAAAGAAACGAAAUAAUUAGAAAUAUAAAUUUGGAUGAAUUAAACCACACAAUUAUAUAAAACGAUUAUAAGUCACACAAAUUAAUGAAUAAACUAAAAAGAAUUGUAAAUAGUAACCUUUUUAGGAGUUCAAUUCGUGUAUGUGAGCCCUAAGGCAGGUCGUCGGCAAUCUCUUGAUGGAGUAGAGAUCCCUCCCAAUUAAGUUUCGGAUCACAACCCACAUUCGCCUUAUUCUGGCCACCCAUCUUCCAUUGAGCUUUUGUUACCACCACCUAUAGCUAUAUAUGAAUCCAUCACUGCCACCGCUGAUUAUGCAUUCCAUCUUUUUUGAUGAUGUAGUUUGCAGAUCCGACAUGUAUUACAACUCCUACUUCUCAUCAUCCAUCGGCAAAACGUCGAUCUGAACGAUGAAAAUUAGGUUUUCAUCUCUUGCCGUCAGAUAUCCACCUGGAAGUUGAGACCGCCAUGAAAACAGGUGUUAUAAAGUUUGAACCGAUUUCAUGGGGAUUCAAUUGUUCAUGGCUCGAUCCUUUUCCCUUCUCUCUCUAAUAUUAGGUUUAGGAAAGCUGCUGAAAAGACAGUUUGGUCUAGAGCCAAUGGCCGGAGGAGGUGGAGACCCUCCAGCAAAAAGUUUUGAGUGAACCGUUCCCAAUAUUCAACCCUAAAGUUUGCUCUUUUUU
Molecule: long non-coding RNA, 1260 nt
Filed under: Lactuca sativa (garden lettuce)
Lineage: Eukaryota; Viridiplantae; Streptophyta; Magnoliopsida; Asterales; Asteraceae
Description: long non-coding RNA (LSAT_LNC002098)
Source: RNAcentral